UCUAUCAUGGCAGAAUAGUGCAAAAGACUUAAAAUCUUCAUAUAGAUUCAUAAUCUUUUUAGAA
Molecule: transfer RNA, 64 nt
Filed under: Aposthonia borneensis
Lineage: Eukaryota; Metazoa; Arthropoda; Insecta; Embioptera; Oligotomidae
Description: tRNA-Leu
Source: RNAcentral